Molecule: long non-coding RNA, 1087 nt
Filed under: Nicotiana benthamiana
Lineage: Eukaryota; Viridiplantae; Streptophyta; Magnoliopsida; Solanales; Solanaceae
Description: long non-coding RNA (NBEN_LNC017220)
Source: RNAcentral
CAACCUUUACAAAGACGAUAAAAAAUGCUGAAUAACAUAAGAAAAUGUAUAGAGUGCCGUCUGGCACAUACACUUUAACUCAAAAUAACGUAACAACCUCUAAGACCCGGAAACUCACGGGCAAUACAGGCUAAGAGUAAAAAUAUAACAUACGGCUCUAAUAUCUGGAAAUGUUUACAACAACUAAAUACAUGAAAGGGAACUGCUAACUAAAAGGUAGAGUAGAAGGAGACUCUUCGGAUAUGCAAACGCAGCGGAUGCAUACCUCAAGUCUCCAAGUAUAGCUUCGAAAUCACUGAUAGUGCGCUUGACCAGAAGUACCCGAAUCUGCACAACAAAAGUGUGCAGAAGAGUAGCAUGAGUACACCACAGCGGUACUCAGUAAGUGCCAAGCCUAACCUCAGUUGGGUAGUGACGAGGAAGGUCGAGGCCUACUGAGAUAAAUAUAAGAAUAAACAUGAAAUGAAUAGACAGUAAGAACAAAGGAAAUCUCAAGUAUCCAGUAAAAACAAUAAGUAAAACGGAACAGGCUACAAAUACAAUCUACAAUUAUAAGAACACUCACUCAAUAUCAGAAUGCCACAUGGAGCUUCGGGAAUUGAACCCGCAGUCCAUUUUACCAAUAUCUAAGGAUCUCCCGAGAAUCGAACCCGUAGUCUAUCAUAUCAAUAACAGAGGAUCUCCCAGGAAUUGAAGCUGUAGUCCAUCAUAUCAAUAACAGAGGAUCUCCCGAAAACUAAACCCAUCUUAUCAAUAACAGAGGAUCUCCCGGACAUUGAACCCGUAGUCUAUCAUAUCAAUAAAAGAGGAUCUCCCGGGAAUUGAACCCAUAGUCUAUCAUUUCAAUUACAGAGGAUCUCUCGGGAAUUGAAUCCGUAGUCCAUCAUAUCAGUAACAAAGGGUAUCGCGGGAAUUAAACCCGUAGUCCAGCAUAUCAAUAACAGAGGAUCUCCCGGGAAUCGAACCCGUAGUCUAGCAUAUCAACAAACACAUCACAAAAAUUCAAUAUUUAACAGAAAGAAACUAAGUACAGGCAACGGGUAAAGAUCUAGAGCCUAGCAUGCUCGCAAAAAGGACAUAUAAUGCA